This 400-nucleotide ribosomal RNA is filed under the name uncultured Erysipelothrix sp. Its description in RNAcentral is "bacterial SSU rRNA". It matches the Rfam family "Bacterial small subunit ribosomal RNA", at positions 977 to 1382 of the family's 1533-position model. Lineage: Bacteria; Bacillati; Bacillota; Erysipelotrichia; Erysipelotrichales; Erysipelotrichaceae. The record is from RNAcentral.
GGCCUUGACAUACUCGGCAAAGCUCUAGAGAUAGAGUGGAGGUUAUCCGGGAUACAGGUGGUGCAUGGUUGUCGUCAGCUCGUGUCGUGAGAUGUUGGGUUAAGUCCCGCAACGAGCGCAACCCUUGUCUUUAGUUACCAUCAUUCAGUUGGGGACUCUAGAGAGACUGCCGGUGAUAAACCGGAGGAAGGUGGGGAUGACGUCAAAUCAUCAUGCCCCUUAUGGCCUGGGCUACAAACGUAAUACAAUGGCGUAUACAAAGGGAUGCGAAAGGGCGACCUGGAGCAAAACUCACAAAGUACGUCUCAGUUCAGAUUGGAGUCUGCAACUCGACUCCAUGAAGGCGGAAUCGCUAGUAAUCGCGGAUCAGCAUGCCGCGGUGAAUACGUUCUCGGGGUUU